AUUGAACGCUGGCGGCAUGCUUUACACAUGCAAGUCGAACGGUAACAGGCCUUCGGGUGCUGACGAGUGGCGAACGGGUGAGUAAUGCAUCGGAACGUGCCCAAUCGUGGGGGAUAACGUAGCGAAAGUUACGCUAAUACCGCAUAAGCCCUGAGGGGGAAAGCAGGGGAUCGCAAGACCUUGCGCGAAUGGAGCGGCCGAUGUCAGAUUAGCUAGUUGGUGGGGUAAAGGCCUACCAAGGCGACGAUCUGUAGCGGGUCUGAGGGGAUGAUCCGCCACACUGGGACUGAGACACGGCCCAGACUCCUACGGGAGGCAGCAGUGGGGAAUUUUGGACAAUGGGCGCAAGCCUGAUCCAGCCAUGCCGCGUGCGGGACGAAGGCCUUCGGUUGUAAACCGCUUUCUAGCCGGAAGAAAUCGCCAAGGCUAAUAUCCUUGGUGGAUGACGGUACCGGAAGAAGAAG
RNAcentral lists this ribosomal RNA (464 nucleotides) under uncultured bacterium. Its description in RNAcentral is "bacterial SSU rRNA". It matches the Rfam family "Bacterial small subunit ribosomal RNA", at positions 29 to 490 of the family's 1533-position model. The record is from RNAcentral.